CAACGUGGAUAACCUGCCUCAAGGCUGGGGAUAACAUUUGGAAACAGAUGCUAAUACCGAAUAAAACUUAGUAUCGCAUGAUAUCAGUUAAAAGGCGCUACGGCGUCACCUAGAGAUGGAUCCGCGGUGCAUUAGUUAGUUGGUGGGGUAAAGGCUUACCAAGACGAUGAUGCAUAGCCGAGUUGAGAGACUGAUCGGCCACAUUGGGACUGAGACACGGCCCAAACUCCUACGGGAGGCAGCAG
This 245-nucleotide ribosomal RNA is filed under the name uncultured bacterium. Its description in RNAcentral is "partial 16S ribosomal RNA". It matches the Rfam family "Bacterial small subunit ribosomal RNA", at positions 113 to 354 of the family's 1533-position model. The record is from RNAcentral.